Oryzias latipes (Japanese medaka) is the source of this 480-nucleotide non-coding RNA. NCBI's taxonomy places the organism in Eukaryota, Metazoa, Chordata, Actinopteri, Beloniformes, Adrianichthyidae. The record is from RefSeq and is a predicted model, not a curated record.
GGUCGUGGGUACCAAUACCUGGUGGACUGGGAGGGCUACGGCCCGGAGGAGCGGUCGUGGAUUCCCCGCUCGUUCAUCUUGGACCCCUCCCUCAUCGAGGAUUUCCUCCGGGCCAACCCCGAUCGCCGCCCUGUUCCGCCUGGAGGCGGUCGUUUGAGGGGGGGUACUGUCACGGUGCCCCCGGCUGGGCCCGCGUCAUCUCAUCCACCUGUUGACAACGGCUGUGCCUCAUCAGUGCCAUCAGGAUCCAGGCUCUUAAGGAGGACCAGGACCUGUACUCGACGCUAGUUCGUUGUACUCCUCGGACUCUUGCCGUCAUCAGGAACCUACGGUCGCACUCACCUCUCGCUGCCUCUCGUCUUGGCGUCUCGUUGGAAGAUCCUCGGACCACGGUGUUCGCCCACAAGAACCUCCAACCAGCUCCUGUGGAUUUCUCCCCUGUUAAUUCUACCUCCAGAAUUAAAGAAUCUUUGAACUUAC